Long non-coding RNA from Ixodes scapularis (black-legged tick), 138 nucleotides. RefSeq lists it as uncharacterized. The transcript has 2 exons. The record is from RefSeq and is a predicted model, not a curated record. NCBI's taxonomy places the organism in Eukaryota, Metazoa, Arthropoda, Arachnida, Ixodida, Ixodidae.
GGCGCUCGUACAGAUAAAGCGCGACGACUGGGAGCCGAGCCGUUUUGUCGUCUGCGUGCGGCAUUAAGGCUUCUUCGACUUGGUACUGCAAUGAAGCGCCGCAAAUAACUUCCGCUGGUCAUGGUCGAGGAGCAGCAU